Non-coding RNA from Clostridium sp. ATCC 29733, 119 nucleotides. Lineage: Bacteria; Bacillati; Bacillota; Clostridia; Eubacteriales; Clostridiaceae. The record is from Rfam.
ACAAUGAUACUCCCGUCCAGCCUAACGUCCGAGCGUUGACGCGGUCUUGUUGCCGUAAUCCGUCGCAGGCAAUGGGGGCGGUUGCGUGAGAACCACGCGAGGGGUGAGAUUCCCCGUGG